UGGCGGACGGGUGAGUAAUGUCUGGGAAACUGCCUGAUGAGGGGGAUAACUACUGGAAACGGUAGCUAAUACCGCAUAACGUCGCAAGACCAAGAGGGGGACCUUCGGGCCUCUUGCCAUCGGAUGUGCCCAGAUGGGAUUAGCUAGUAGGUGGGGUAACGGCUCACCUAGGCGACGAUCCCUAGCUGGUCUGAGAGGAUGACCAGCCACACUGGAACUGAGACACGGUCCAG
RNAcentral lists this ribosomal RNA (233 nucleotides) under uncultured bacterium. RNAcentral's name for it is "partial 16S ribosomal RNA". It matches the Rfam family "Bacterial small subunit ribosomal RNA", at positions 96 to 334 of the family's 1533-position model. The record is from RNAcentral.